GUGGCCGUGCUUGCAGGGUGGCCUCUCGAUUCAUGGCUAUUGGACUUUGACAUGAAUAAUAUUCUACAUUUAUCAAACCAGCAUCUGGAUCUGAAUACUUUUGUAAUUGCAAAAAAACAAUCCUUGACAGUUUAUUGAAUAGAACGCUGGGACUUGUAGUUCUACAUAGAACAGUGCUUGUUUUCUCUAAAAGUAGCUUUUCAGGUACAUAGUACAAUUUGGAGUUCACUCAAUACAGACUCGUAUAUCUAAUGAUAUCUUCAGAGCAGUUGGAGCUCUAUAUUCCUGAUACAAAGCUCCAGAUCCCCUGCAUAGACUUAGGGUUAAAUGGUCGCUGUCAUUUCACAUAGCUUUGCAUAAAUCAAUAGUACACACAAAUAUAAAUAAAAAAAAUUAAAAUAAAAUAUAUAUAAUAUAUCUCAUCAGAAAUUUGUUUUAAAUCCAUCUUCUGAGACCAAGAUGGGCUGCUUGCUCACUGAAGAAACAGAUUACUUCAUCUCAUGGAAGUCUAUGGAGAGGGGAGGCAGGAAGAGAAUGGAGGAAGUGGGGAGAGAGAGAGACACAACACAGGAAUGCUUCAGCAGCUUAACGUAAGUGUUAUGUCUCAUCCCAAGUGCUUUAUUCGCAUUUACACUGCUCAGUACUUCUCUACAAUGUCCCAUAUGGUCACUGUCAUUUCACACAACUUUGCUUAAAUAUUAUAUAUAUAUAUAUAUAUUAUCAGAGAAAAAUCGCUUGUCCUAGACUUAUCAGAUUAUCCUCCCUUCUUUACAAAACUAACUUUUUCUUCUGAAAGUUGUAAUUAAUCCCUCUUGUGAGAGAAAUACAGGCUGCUAGCUCACUGAAGAAACAGAUUACAUCUUCUUAUCGAAGUCUACAGAGAGGGGAGGCAGGAGGAGAAUAGAAGAAGUGCAGAGAAAAACAGAGAGAUAGACACAACACAAGAAUGCCUCAGCAGAUUCAGCUGCUAAUGAUGUUAUAUCUCACUCCAAGUGCUUUAUUCAUAUCUAUACUGCUCAGUAUUUCUAUAUAACGUCCUAUAUGGUCA
Long non-coding RNA from Bufo bufo (common toad), 1048 nucleotides. RefSeq lists it as uncharacterized. Lineage: Eukaryota; Metazoa; Chordata; Amphibia; Anura; Bufonidae. The record is from RefSeq and is a predicted model, not a curated record. The transcript has 3 exons.